This 76-nucleotide transfer RNA is filed under the name Arthrobacter pityocampae. RNAcentral's name for it is "tRNA-Ala". It matches the Rfam family "tRNA". From Rfam's summary of the family: Transfer RNA (tRNA) molecules are approximately 80 nucleotides in length. Their secondary structure includes four short double-helical elements and three loops (D, anti-codon, and T loops). Further hydrogen bonds mediate the characteristic L-shaped molecular structure. tRNAs have two regions of fundamental functional importance: the anti-codon, which is responsible for specific mRNA codon recognition, and the 3' end, to which the tRNAs corresponding amino acid is attached (by aminoacyl-tRNA synthetases). tRNAs cope with the degeneracy of the genetic code in two manners: having more than one tRNA (with a specific anti-codon) for a particular amino acid; and 'wobble' base-pairing, i.e. permitting non-standard base-pairing at the 3rd anti-codon position. The record is from RNAcentral. RNAcentral also lists the same sequence under 1 other name. Lineage: Bacteria; Bacillati; Actinomycetota; Actinomycetes; Micrococcales; Micrococcaceae.
GGGGCCAUAGCUCAGCUGGGAGAGCGCCUGCCUUGCACGCAGGAGGUCAGCGGUUCGAUCCCGCUUAGCUCCACCA